RNAcentral lists this ribosomal RNA (253 nucleotides) under uncultured bacterium. RNAcentral's name for it is "partial 16S ribosomal RNA". It matches the Rfam family "Bacterial small subunit ribosomal RNA", at positions 524 to 776 of the family's 1533-position model. The record is from RNAcentral.
UACGUAGGGUGCAAGCGUUGUCCGGAAUUAUUGGGCGUAAAGCGCUCGUAGGCGGUCUGUCGCGUCGGCUGUGAAAACUCGGGGCUCAACCCCGAGCUUGCAGUCGAUACGGGCAGACUAGAGGUAUGCAGGGGAGAACGGAAUUCCUGGUGUAGCGGUGAAAUGCGCAGAUAUCAGGAGGAACCCCGGUGGCGAAGGCGGGUCUGUGGGCCGAUACUGACGCUGAGGAGCGAAAGCGUGGGGAGCGAACAGG